RNAcentral lists this ribosomal RNA (571 nucleotides) under uncultured fungus. RNAcentral describes it as "eukaryotic LSU rRNA". The stretch from base 207 to 360 matches the Rfam family "5.8S ribosomal RNA". Lineage: Eukaryota; Fungi. The record is from RNAcentral.
AGUAAAAGUCGUAACAAGGUCUCCGUAGGUGAACCUGCGGAGGGAUCAUUACAAGUGACCCCGGUUUACCACCGGGAUGUUCAUAACCCUUUGUUGUCCGACUCUGUUGCCUCCGGGGCGACCCUGCCUUCGGGCGGGGGCUCCGGGUGGACACUUCAAACUCUUGCGUAACUUUGCAGUCUGAGUAAACUUAAUUAAUAAAUUAAAACUUUUAACAACGGAUCUCUUGGUUCUGGCAUCGAUGAAGAACGCAGCGAAAUGCGAUAAGUAAUGUGAAUUGCAGAAUUCAGUGAAUCAUCGAAUCUUUGAACGCACAUUGCGCCCCCUGGUAUUCCGGGGGGCAUGCCUGUUCGAGCGUCAUUUCACCACUCAAGCCUCGCUUGGUAUUGGGCAACGCGGUCCGCCGCGUGCCUCAAAUCGACCGGCUGGGUCUUCUGUCCCCUAAGCGUUGUGGAAACUAUUCGCUAAAGGGUGUUCGGGAGGCUACGCCGUAAAACAACCCCAUUUCUAAGGUUGACCUCGGAUCAGGUAGGGAUACCCGCUGAACUUAAGCAUAUCAAUAAGCGGAGGA